CUCUCAGGAGGGUGCAAUUGGACAGGGUUUCUGCGUAUUAUCUGCUUGUCUCGGAGCUUCUGGGGCUACCGCUCUGUGCGCUGCAUGAGCUAAGCCCACCUUGCGGUUGCAUCAUCAGGUUCCACUUGCGCCAGGAGCCCCACAAGAGCUCGCUCAGGGUCCACCAGCUGGAAUCUGAGCGAGAGCAGACUAAAAAUACCCAGCUCUGCGGACUCACGCCCGGCUCCUGGGGGGCUUCCAGACUGACAGCUCCGUUUACACACCCACAAUGGGUUAAAACAAAAAAGAAAAAAAGAAAAAAAAACCCAAUCCGCACGUUUUCUUCGCGUUGAUUGAUUUGAGCUCAGCUCUAGAGAGUUUUGCUGGCCAUUUUCAGAAUGUUGAAACUCCCCAGAACUGUUUUAGGAAAAGUAAAAGGCGGCAAAGCGGAGAGAGCAGGCUGGCUUUGUCAGGGUCUGGGGUUCUCCGGCCACGGUCACUGCGAAAGCUGCGCCCAGUCUCGGAGCGGUCGGACCCUCACGGGACCGCACGCGGGUCCCUCUCCCACUCCAGCUCAGAGGCUGCCUCCCUCCGCCCAUCCCCAGAAGGCACGGGACUUUACAGUUCACACAUUUAACGGAGAAAACCCCGGUCCGGAGCCCGGAGCCCGGAGCCCGUGAAAUGGAGCGCACAGCUCUGGGUGCGCAGCUCUCACAGUCCGGAUGUGUGCAAACUGCUCCCCUGGGCGGUAUUCAGGCCGAUGCUUUGCGGGGAAGUACCUCCUCCUAGAGAGUGUCCUCUCCUCCCAGGCCUCAUGGGGAAAACUUACAAAGACAGAAAACCACAGGGUUCCUGGCACAUGGGCUUUGGGUUUAUCAGCUUAGAGCAGAUUCUUCCUGGCCUGAGCCUGGGCCCUUCCUCUGACUGCAAAGGCAGAGAGACACAAGCAGACAGAAACGCACUCGCUCAGCAGCUGACUCACGCCCAGAGUUGUAUUCAACCCUCAAAAAAUUGUCUACAAGAGAUUGCUGAGGGUCGUGGUGCCUUCUGUCUUGCUCUCUUUCUUUUUAUCCGGCGCCGUGUCACCUUUCAAGACACCUGAAAUCAACCGAGAAGCAGACCAAAAGAGGGCUGGUGGGUUUUGAACACACGAUACUAAUUCACACUCUGGUGCCUCAAACAAACAAACAAACAAACCAACAAAAAACCCAAAAAGCAGCAAGAGUGUUUCUAAGGUAGAUCCACCCCAGUUCACUUGAAGGGGAAACCUCACUACUGCGGAAGGUGACCUUGUGGGACAUUGGAAAGCUGGCUUUACAGGGGCCCUGAGCAAAGCAAACUGGGCAGGGAAGAAAUGAAGCUGUGAUUCCUUCAACGGGGUUUGGCAAGAUUUGGUUAAUGACAGCCCCAUCAUUUCUACAAACCCAUUAGCAGUGUGUGAGAGUUCCGGUUCCUCCACAUUCUCAUAACGCCUAUUAUGGUGGGCCCCCAGUGGUUGGAAGGGGAGCAUUCGUGCUGUCCGCCCUGCAUAAAAGCUCAGACAUUUGGGCUGUAAGGGAAAGAACUCAACUUAACGGAGUUGAGAAAGAAAUCCACUGGUCAGUGCCUGCAAAGUCCAGGACUGGCUUGACUCUAUGACAUCAGCAGGACUGGAUCUCAAUCGCCCCAUCGCUCUUGAGGGGGGGGGCUCUCCACUAGAGAUGGCUGUGAGCUGGCUGCCGGCAGCUUAGCUCAAAGACUGUCUUCUGAGCAGCCCGGGUGACAGGCAUGGGAAUGGCAUGACGGGACCAUCCGCCCAUCCUGGACAUUGGAACUGGGGCAUGGGAUGUGCUAGUUAGUGGUCCUGGGUCACUCGCCCACCUCCGGACCAGGCAGCCCACCAAAACGGCGUGAGCUGGUCCUGGAAGGAUGCCGGUGCCAGAGAAGGAGGAUCAGAUCCUGAAAGGUGGUCACAGCAGGUGCACCCCACGCCCCACGCCCUGCUCUUUCCUUGACCUUCUACACUUUGGUUCUUCUUUCCCGGAAGUGUAACAUGCAGCUGUUCCCUUGCCUAACUUGCCACCCUGGUCAAAUGACUUCACCUCUCCAUGCCUCAAACGAAGAUGUUGAAAGGACCUUUUGCAUGGGGGUUGUUGUGAGAAUUCACUAAAAUAACAGACCUCAAGCAUCUGGCACCUGGUGCCUAGCAACUCACUGCUCAUUUGCUCAACGAGGUUAAAAGGUUCUGAUCGCUUUGUCCCAGGACAGAAAGACCCCUCCCUCUGCAGCUCCAGGGGCAACUCAGUGCGUUAAAAAAAAAAAAAAAAAAAGGAGGGGAGGCAACUGGCAGGUGAAAGGCAGACAGGAAGAGCAAAUAAGAAGUCAAAUUACUUCUUCGUAAGACACCUUGAUGCCCUAAGGACAGCCUGUUACAAGCGGCCAUCACUCUGGGAAAAGAAAUUGGGGUCUCAGAAACCAGACCCUUUGAAGAGUAAAGCCUCUCACUUUGGCCAGCCUCUGUGACAAUUCUGAUUGAACAUUGCCCAGAAAUAAGUUUUGAUGGCACGUGCUUCUCAUGCGGAUGCUCCCAUGUUCGCAGUUUUUUUCUGAAUGAUCUUUACCAAUAAACCUCUCUCGUGUCCUCACCCUAUCUCUGUUCUAUUUACAGAGCAAGAGAACCCCAAUUUUAUCUAGGGAGGUAAUGUGCCUGACUAAAAGACUACAUUUUCCGGGCUCCUUUGCAGUUCACUGUGGCCAUGUAACUAAUUUCUAACCAAUGGGAUACAAGCAGAAGUAUGGAAUUUAUAGGAAGGUAAGUUAAAAGGAACUGAUUCAAUUGCGGAGAUAUUCUCUUCCUCCUUCAUCGGGCCAUAGAUGGGAAAGCAGGAACUCUUGCAGCCUCCUUGUGACACUGAGAGCAAAAGCCAGAGCUAGGGUUGUGGAACAGAAAGGCAAGAAGAAGAAAGUUCUGGUUUCGUGUGCUUUUUCAACAAGAGAGUACGGGUAGGAGAAGCCGUUUCCAGACUCAUCACAAAACCAGCACCACAGGCAGCAUGGAACGUCCACGGAGCCCUUGCAACGUGCUGAGCGCCAUCCCAGGAACCUGACGCCCGCGAUCGCAUCCGAUCCCUGCCACGACGCCUGUGUAGACAUGAGAAAACCAAGGCCUCGACCGGCUGGCAUCCCAGCCUUUCCAGUUGGUCUCCUUUCCUUCCCAGUUGCUGGGGUAGCUCCGAGUGGGCAGGAGACACCCCAGCUGUCCUCUGGCAGUGUGCCAAGUCACCUCAUCCUGCGCUUUUCUAAGAUGGGAGGGUCAGCCUGCAAAACGAUGAAAAUGGGGCCCGCCACUCUUAGAAGGUCUGCCUCAUUCCCUGACACCUAGGGAGUCACCCCAGCCUGCUCCGGCCCAGCUCUGGGUCAGCACAUUCAGCAAAUCAAGUGCAGCCGAGGCCCGGCCUUCUAGCUCCAGCCUCCCCGCCUCGUCACACGCACCACCCCUCCCAGCGGAGCCUGCGCUGGUUCAUUUCCACGUCCGCCGGGUGGGCCGGAGGGUUUUCAUGAGAUGUCCGGUUGCUGCAGACUCAGUGCCUGACAGGGCGGACACUCAGUAAACUGCAGAUGCCCCGCAAUGUUUUUCUGUUACUGAUUCAUUUUUUAGUCUAGCUGACGCCCCUCUGUGGGCACCGUAUUUCACACCCGCUGUGCCCCAAUCCGACAUGACAAGCUCCCUCCUUGGGAGUACAGAAACAACGAGAGGAGGUUCAUGGCCUGCACGCUACCACAGGGCAAACACAGGUACAGGUCCCCUGUGGAGUGUUAGUAGCCUGGAGCCAUCAGGCCUCCCAGGAGCCUGUUUGUCAGGAUAGGAACCUUCCAGGCUCAUUUCAGCAGUGUGUGGACAGAGCCCCACCGGAUAGAUGACCCUGAAAACUGGUAGGGAGAGAAGAGUCAGCUGGUUCUCACCUCAGAAACGAGAAGACUUUUCUCCCCACGUGAGAACAGGUGGAUGGAGAUGGGACUUCGCAUCAUCCGUCUUCAGCGAAGUCACUUACACCGUGACCUUGGGCAAGUGGCUCAGCUUCUCUGAAGCUCAGUCUCCUCUCCUGCAGAAGGAGAGUGGUGGUCUGACUUGCCUCUAGGUCCUCGAGGCCGCAGCCUGCCCUGUGCAACCAGCUAGGGGAGUUUUUGUCAGCCAGACUCCAUUCCAGGUCUAUUACAUGAGAAUCUGUGGGGUGUCCUUCGGGGACAGGCCCUGGGGGCCCAGAUGGCUCUGGCGCCUCCGUCAGGAGGUGUGGGCCUCCAGGACAGUGUGGACAGUCCCUGGGGACAUCUGAAGGCCUCUCAAGAGAGGGUGACAACAGACUCAAAAGGGAGAAUUCCUGCCAGUCAUAAAUUAUCCUCUCCGACGCCGAUGAUUUUUCUGUUGUUAGAGAUGAUUAUUACAGGCGUGAACAAUGGCCCCGCUGUUCUUUGUCUGCUGGCUGAGAAGCAGGACAUCUAGCUAGCUCCCGAGUCACCUCCCAGCAGUAGGCAUGGAAAAUAUCGACUUCCUUCUUAUUUCUUGAUCCUCGUUGCUUUUCUUCCUUCGUUUCUUAUCACCUCUUAGGCGCUUUCAUGUUCUUGAUCUUCUCUUCAUUCUUCACGCGAUAAUGCUUAUUUAAUUUUGAAUGUUCUCUUCCGGUCAAAAGUUGGCUUGCUGGGUCCAGACCAAAUGGAAACAAACAUGACGAAAUUUGUGCUACGCUGAAGGGCGCCUGGGCGGCUCGGUCGGUUAAACGUCCGACUCCAACUCAGGUCAUGAUCUCACGGUUCGUGGGUUCGAGCCCUGUGUCGGGCUCUGGGCUGA
Herpailurus yagouaroundi (jaguarundi) is the source of this 4804-nucleotide long non-coding RNA. RefSeq lists it as uncharacterized. The transcript has 5 exons. The record is from RefSeq and is a predicted model, not a curated record. Lineage: Eukaryota; Metazoa; Chordata; Mammalia; Carnivora; Felidae.